RNAcentral lists this long non-coding RNA (330 nucleotides) under Chrysemys picta bellii (western painted turtle). RNAcentral's name for it is "lncRNA (ENSCPBG00000018599.1)". The record is from RNAcentral. Lineage: Eukaryota; Metazoa; Chordata; Testudines; Emydidae.
CUGCUUGAGAAGUUGGAAAAACCAGGAGGACUAACAGGGGCGUGUAAAGCAAUCCGGAGCUACAAAAGGAGGGUUUCCUUUAAACCCCAUCCCUAGACAUGCAUAUGUAUCCAAGGGGUUAGGCUUGCAAGAUUUAGGAAGAAGUGAUUGUGAAGAUGGGAGGACCCCACACAGGCUAAGUCUAGUCCAUGGUAGCUAAGCCUAUUCUAUGUUGAGGAGGAUCAAGAGCAGCCACUUUGACUCGUUUCUCAGACCUGUGUGGAAGGACUGGAGGAGAUAGGUCCUCAAAGACUCCUGAGGGGCCUGCCAUCCACCCAAGAAGGUCAGAUG